GGUCAAGCGGGUGAAAGCACACGGUGGAUGCCUUGGCAUCAAGGGCCGAUGAAGGGCGUAGUACGGCUACGAUAAGCCCCGGUUAGCUGCCAAGCAAGCUUAACCGAGGAUUCCCGAAUGGGGCAACCCAUCCCGAUGAACUCGGGAUACCCCCGGCCGAACACAUAGGCCGGGUGGAGGUAAGCGGGGGAAGUGAAACAUCUCAGUACCUCGAGGAAAAGAAAACAUUCCCGGAGUAGUGGCGAACGAAAUGGGAACAGCCUAAACUCUAUAAGCUUAGUGGUUCUGAGACCUAUGCGUAUAGGGAGUCGUAAGACAGGAAUGACCGAACUUAGAAUAAGUCAAGGAGUUACCAACCGAACUCUAGUCAAAGGCCUCUGGAAAGAGCCGCCAUAGCGGGUGACAGCCCCGUAGACGAAAGAGGUAGGCUCCUAACCUGUUCUUGAGUACCACGGGACACGAGAAAUCUUGUGGGAAGCUGCCCUGACCACAGGGCAAGGCUAAAUACCCUUGAUGACCGAUAGUGAACUAGUACCGUGAGGGAAAGGUGAAAAACACCCCGAGAGGGGAGUGAAAUAGAUCUGAAACCGUGUGCUGACAAGCAGUCAGAGCCCCGAUUUAUCGGGGUAAUGGCGUGCCUAUUGAAGAAUGAGCCAGCGAGUUAAUCUACGUGGCUGGUUAAAUGAUUAAGUCAUGCAGCCAAAGCGAAAGCAAGUCUGAAUAGGGCGUUAUAGUCGCGUGGAUUAGACCCGAAGCCGGGUGAGCUAUCCAUGACCAGGGUGAAGCUCCGAUAAAAUCGGAGUGGAGGCCCGAACUGGUCAACGUUGCAAAGUUGUCAGAUGAGUUGUGGAUAGAGGUGAUAUGCCAAACGAACCCGGGGAUAGCUGGUUCUCCCCGAAAUGUAUUGAGGUACAGCCUCGGAUGGUCACUGAUGGAGGUAGGGCUCUGGAUGGAUUAGGGGGAUAACAUCUUACCAACUCCAACUAAACCGCAAAUACCAUCAGUCAAAGUCCGGGAGUGAGACUACGGGGGAUAAGCUCCGUGGUCGAGAGGGAAACAGCCCAGACCAUCAGCUAAGGUCCCUAAGAACAGACUAAGUGGCAAAGGAAGUAGGACUGCCCAGACAGCCAGGAGGUUGGCUCAGAAGCAGCCACCCUUUAAAGAGUGCGUAACAGCUCACUGGUUAAGUGGUGCUGCGCCGAUAAUCCAACGGGGCUCAAGUCUGUCACCGAAGCUAUGGCUUUUUUCCCGAUUCGUCGGGAAGAGAGGGUAGGGGAGCGUUCUCUUCGCCGAGAAGUCGUUGCGUGAGCAACGGUGGAGCGGAGAGAAGUGAGAAUGCUGGCAUGAGUAGCGCUAGGUGUGUGAGAAACACAUCCAUCGAAUAUCUGAGGUUUCCUAUGCAAGGUUAAUCCGCAUAGGGUUAGUCGGGCCUAAGCCGAGGCCGAGAGGCGUAGGCGAUGGACAACGGGUUAUUAUUCCCGUACCGUUUUUACGGAGGUAAAGGGGGGACGCGGGAGGGUAAGCUAGGCAUACCCAUUGGACAUGGUGUGUCAACCAUCGUAGGUAAUGCCGGAGCAGGCAAAUCCACUCCGGAUAUUAAGCUGAAAAUGGGAGAGAGUUGAGGGGAGACCCAAGGCGAUUUAGCCCACCCCACGCCGCCAAGAAAAUCCUCGUUACCGUUGAAGUAAGAACGCCCGUACCGCAAACCGACUCUGGUAGAUAGGGAUAAGUGUCCCAAGGUGAUCGAGAUAACCCUCGUUAAGGAACUCGGCAAUCUAACCCCGUAACUUAGGGAAAAGGGGUGCCCUUUUUUUUAGAAGGGUGACAUUAAAUUGGUCCAAGUAACUGUUUAACAAAAACACAGGUCUGUGCUAAAGGCGUAAGCCGAUGUAUACAGGCUGAUACCUGCCCAGCGCCAGUAGGUUAAGGGGAGAAGUCAUCGCAAGAGAAGCCUUGAACCGAAGCCCUGGUAAGCGGCGGCCGUAACUAUAACGGUCCUAAGGUAGCGAAGUCCCUUGUCGGGUAAGUUCCGACCCGCACGAAUGGUGUAAUAACUUGGACGCUGUCUCAACGAGGGGCUCGGCGAAAUUGAAGUACCCGUGAAGAUGCGGGUUACCCGCGACAGGACAAAAAGACCCCGUGGAGCUUUACUACAACUUGUCACUGAGCCUGGACUUACCAUGUGUAGCAUAGGUGGGAGGCUUUGAAGCCGGGGCGCUAGCCUCGGUGGAGCCAACAUUGAAAUACCACUCUUGGUGAGUUUAGUCUCUAACCCCGGAUCAAGCCGGGGGACAGUGGCUGGCGGGUAGUUUGACUGGGGCGGUCGCCUCCUAAAUUGUAACG
This 2343-nucleotide non-coding RNA is filed under the name Chloroflexi bacterium RBG_16_51_9. RNAcentral's name for it is "bacterial LSU rRNA". It matches the Rfam family "Bacterial large subunit ribosomal RNA", at positions 1 to 2302 of the family's 2925-position model. Lineage: Bacteria; Bacillati; Chloroflexota. The record is from RNAcentral.